GAGGAAUAUUGGUCAAUGGUCGAGAGACUGAACCAGCCAAAUCGCGUGAAGGAUGAAGGUAUUAUGUAUUGUAAACUUCUUUUGUCAGGGAAUAAAGUGCAUCACGUGUGAUGUUUUGUAUGUACCUGAAGAAUAAGGAUCGGCUAACUCCGUGCCAGCAGCCGCGGUAAUACGGAGGAUCCGAGCGUUAUCCGGAUUUAUUGGGUUUAAAGGGUGCGUAGGUGGAUUGAUAAGUCAGUGGUGAAAGUUUGCAGCUUAACUGUAAAAUUGCCGUUGAAACUGUCGGUCUUGAGUGCAAAUGAGGUAGGCGGAAUGCGUCGUGUAGCGGUGAAAUGCUUAGAUAUGACGCAGAACUCCGAUUGCGAAGGCAGCUUACUGGGAUGCAACUGACACUGAGGCACGAAAGCGUGGGUAUCAAAC
This 420-nucleotide ribosomal RNA is filed under the name uncultured bacterium. RNAcentral's name for it is "bacterial SSU rRNA". It matches the Rfam family "Bacterial small subunit ribosomal RNA", at positions 356 to 773 of the family's 1533-position model. The record is from RNAcentral.